Molecule: ribosomal RNA, 2226 nt
Filed under: Corophium sp. AI-2007-5
Lineage: Eukaryota; Metazoa; Arthropoda; Malacostraca; Amphipoda; Corophiidae
Description: SSU rRNA
Rfam family: Eukaryotic small subunit ribosomal RNA
Source: RNAcentral
UCUGGUUGAUCCUGCCAGUAGUCAUAUGCUUGUCUCAAAGAUUAAGCCAUGCAUGUCUAAGUCCAAGCUGUGUUUACACGGCGAGACCGCGGACGGCUCAUUAAAUCAGUCGUGGUCCAAAUGGGCCAGUCCUUUUUACUUGGAUAACUGUGGUAAUUCCAGAGCUAAUACAUGCAACUCAUACCCUGAUGGGAGUUCCCUCUUGCGCUUGUCGCUUGAGGUGCAUCGACCUGAAGGGUGCUUUUAUUAGACCAAACCGCUGGGGGCUGUCGCGUGUCUCACCUCGGUGUGCCGCGGCAGCUUGACUCGCUUUAUGGUGACUCUGGAUAACCAUUUCUGACAAGCGCACGUACCCCUCUCCGAGUGGGACGGCGCUGCCACUUUCGAGUGUCUGCCUUAUCAGCUGUCAACCGCUCGCUACACGCGACCGAUGGCUUUGACGGGUAACGGGGAAUCAGGGUUUGAUUCCGGAGAGGCAGCCUGAGAGACGGCUACCACGUCCAAGGACGGCAGCAGGCACGCAAAUUACCCAAUCCCAGCAUCUGGGGGAGGUAGUGACAGAAAUCUAACGAUGCGGACGCCCUUUCCGGGCUCCGCAAUCGGAAUGAGCGCUUUCUAAACAACCCGUUGAGAACCUACUGAAGGGCAAGUCUGGUGCCAGCAGCCGCGGUAAUUCCAGCUUCAGUAGCAUCUAUUAAAGUUGCUGCGGUUAAAAGGCUCGCAGUUGAAUGUCAGUGCCGGGCGUUGGAUAGGUGGACGUUGGGGCGUGGGAUCAAGUCGUGGCGUAGCUCUCUCUCACUUCACGGUGUUGAGGGACUCGCUCGGCUCCCACAUGCUCCCGUCCGUAACAAGCCUCCGCGCCUGUGUACAUAGUGAUGCUUGUUGUGGGAGGUGUGCUCGGCUUGCCUUGUGCGCCUCUCCUAGAGUUUCAGUGUCACCGUGAGUAAAUCGGAGUGCUCAAAGCAGUCGUAACGGGCCUCGUGCCCUGUGAACAGUCUUGACGGACUGACUUGGUUUUGCAUGGUAUGUCGGAAGACGACGUCGAGCGCUGGCUAAGAGAUUCAAUCAGUGGUGUAAGCCAGCCUCUGACGUACUGAUUAAAAGGGCUUGUCGAGGGCAUUGGUAUUGCGGAGCGAGAGGUGAAAUUCUAUGACCUCCGCAAGACCGCCCGAAGCGAAAGCGUCUGCCAAGGAUGUUUUCAUUAAUCAUGAACGAAAGUUAGAGGAUCGAAGGCGAUCAGAUACCGCCCUAGUUCUAACCCUAAACGAUGCCAACCAUCAAUCCGCGCGUAGCACCCUUUUUGACGGGCUCGGCGGGCAGCUCCUUUUUUCACGGGAAACCAGAGUCUCUGGGUUCCGGGGGGAGUCUGGUUGCAAAGCUAAAACUUAAAGGAAUUGACGGAAAGGCACCACCAGGCGUGGAGCCUGCGGCUUAAUUUGACUCAACACGGGCCAUCUCACCAGGCCAGCACUCUAGCAUGAUUGACAGAUUGAGAGCUCUUUCUCGAUUCAGUGGAUGGUGGUGCAUGGCCGUUCUUAGUUGGUGGAGUGAUCUGUCUGGUUAAUUCCGAUAACGAACGAGACUCUCCCCUGCUAACUAGUCGGUUGGAUCUUGCUCGGUGAGUCGUGCACCGGUGGUGCUCGGCGGCUCGGUAAGUUUCGGGUGUGCGGUGUUGUGUGCAGUUCGCUGUUGCGCGCCCGUGCAUUUGAAGCCCCGGUCGUUGGAGGCCUCGGAUCGUACACUCCAAGUCCGCCGCUUAUGAUAUAACUCUUCUUAGAGGGAUCCACGGCUCUGAAGCCGUCAGAGACUGAGAGCAAUAACAGGUCUGUGAUGCCCUUAGAUGCUCUGGGCCGCACGCGCGCUACAAUGCCGGGCACAGCAGGUUCUUUUCCUGCUCCGAGAGGAGCGGGCAACCCUCUGAAAGCCCUUGAUCACACUCGUUUUAAGUAACGAAUGGCGUGCUUGGGCCUGGGGCUUGCAAUUAUUCCCCACAAACGAGGAAUGCCUAGUAGCGGCGAGUCACUGAGCUCGCUGUGACUCAGUCCCUGCCCUUUGUACACACCGCCCGUCGCUACUACCGAUUGGGUGUACCAGUGAGAGCCUUGGACUGGCGGCCGUUGCCUUCGGGCAAGCGGAUUCGACGGAAAGAGGUCCGAACUGGUGCACUUAGAGGAAGUAAAAGUCGUAACAAGGUUUCCGUAGGUGAACCUGCGGAAGGAUCAUUAA